GCUUACGGCCAUACCAGCCUGNNUACGCCCGAUCUCGUCCGAUCUCGGAAGCCAAGCAGGGUCAGGCCUGGUUAGUACUUGGAUGGGUGACCGCCUGGGAAUACCAGGUGCUGUAAGCUU
RNAcentral lists this ribosomal RNA (120 nucleotides) under Argyrosomus regius (meagre). Lineage: Eukaryota; Metazoa; Chordata; Actinopteri; Sciaenidae. The record is from RNAcentral.